GAUGAACGCUGGCGGCGUGCCUAAUACAUGCAAGUCGAGCGAACAGAUGAGGAGCUUGCUCCUCUGACGUUAGCGGCGGACGGGUGAGUAACACGUGGAUAACCUACCUAUAAGACUAGGAUAACUUCGGGAAACCGGAGCUAAUACCGGAUAAUAUAUUGAACCGCAUGGUUCAAUAGUGAAAGACGGUUUUGCUGUCACUUAUAGAUGGAUCCGCGCCGCAUUAGCUAGUGGGUAAGGUAACGGCUUACCAAGGCAACGAUGCGUAGCCGACCUGAGAGGAGGAUCGGCCACACUGGAACUGAGACACGGUCCAGACUCCUACGGGAGGCAGCAGUGGGGAAUCUUGGACAAUGGGCGAAAGCCUGAUGCAGCAACACCGCGUGGGUGAAGAAGGCCUUCGGAUUGUAAAGCUCUUUUGUUGGGAAAGAAAAGCAGCAGAUUAAUACCCCGCUGUUCUGACGGUACCUAAAGAAAAAGCACCGGCUAACUUCGUG
RNAcentral lists this ribosomal RNA (497 nucleotides) under uncultured bacterium. RNAcentral describes it as "partial 16S ribosomal RNA". It matches the Rfam family "Bacterial small subunit ribosomal RNA", at positions 28 to 507 of the family's 1533-position model. The record is from RNAcentral.